This 401-nucleotide ribosomal RNA is filed under the name uncultured bacterium. RNAcentral describes it as "bacterial SSU rRNA". It matches the Rfam family "Bacterial small subunit ribosomal RNA", at positions 30 to 416 of the family's 1533-position model. The record is from RNAcentral.
AGUGAACGCUGGCGGCAGGCCUAACACAUGCAAGUCGAGCGGCAGCGCGUCCGACCACCCUCGGGUGGUCGGAUGGCGGCGAGCGGCGGACGGGUGAGGAAUGCAUCGGAAUCUGCCUCGUUGUGGGGGAUAACGUAGGGAAACUUACGCUAAUACCGCAUACGACCUACGGGUGAAAGUGGGGGACCUUCGGGCCUCACGCGAUGAGAUGAGCCGAUGCCGGAUUAGCUAGUUGGCGGGGGUAAAGGCCCACCAAGGCGACGAUCCGUAGCUGGUCUGAGAGGAUGAUCAGCCACACUGGAACUGAGACACGGUCCAGACUCCUACGGGAGGCAGCAGUGGGGAAUAUUGGACAAUGGGGGCAACCCUGAUCCAGCCAUGCCGCGUGUGUGAAGAAGGCC